RNA transcript from Xenia sp. Carnegie-2017, 1761 nucleotides. It is a transcript of the gene named U1 small nuclear ribonucleoprotein 70 kDa-like, with no coding region annotated. Lineage: Eukaryota; Metazoa; Cnidaria; Anthozoa; Malacalcyonacea; Xeniidae. The record is from RefSeq and is a predicted model, not a curated record. The transcript has 9 exons.
UAACUUCUCCACUCGUUAUUGUGUUCUUAUUUCGUUGGAACUGGCAGAGUUGGCGAAUAUUUUAUUUUAUAGUCGAAAUGACCGCGUUUUUACCGUCAAAUCUUUUGGCAUUAUUUGCUGCUAGACCUCCCAUACCAUAUCUUCCGCCUCUGGAUAAACUAGGUCAUCAGAAAAAGCCUUGGUCGUACAGUGGAUCUGCGAGUAUCGUUGCUGACUUCGAGAAAUGUGAAAGAAUUAAGAAAAAGAAAGCGGAUUUGGAGAAAGCUGCAGAAGAAUGGGAUCCUCACACUGAUCCAAAUGCUGUCACAGAGGCAUUUAAAACUUUAUUUGUCAGCAGACUGAAUUACGAUACAUCUGAAAGGAAAAUCCGGAGAGAGAUUGAGGUUUAUGGUCCUGUAAAAUCGAUUCAAAUGGUGACCAAUUCUACCACAGGAAAACCUCGUGGUUAUUGUUUUGUCGAAUUUGAACAUGAAAGGGACAUGCAUAUGCAAAUACUGUCGAUAUUGCCAAGUGAAUGGCAACAGACGAUUGCUCGCUCCUAUGCCAUGGCUAACUCUACUUGAUCAUUUAAAAUGUUUCAUUUUAACUGCCGCUUAUAAACAUGCUGACGGUAAGAAGAUUGACGGCAGGCGUAUUGUAGUAGAUGUGGAAAGAGGAAGAACAGUGAAGAACUGGAAACCUUGACGUUUAGGUGGAGGGCUAGGUGGCACACGAAAUGGUGCUCCUGAAGCAAACAUAAAGCAUUCUGGCCGCGUAGAAAAUUUUCACAGGGAUCGCGAGCGAGAUGAACGUGAUCGUGGUGGUGAAUAUCGUGACCGUUCAAGGCGUGAUCGUGAACGAGACCGUGGCCGUGAUAGAGAUCGCGAUAGACAUGAUCGUCGCCGAGAAAGGGAUCGUGAGGUUCGGGAUCGUGAUGGUCGGGAUCGCGAGGGUCGGGACCGUGAGUUUCGGGACCGUGAGGGUCGAGACCGUUGUUUUUGGACCACUAACAUUGUUUCAUUGUAACUCAUUAUUUUCGAUAUCAACAGACACAUAAAGGCAAGCAAAAGAUUAAUUAAGCAUAGACGAACAAACAACGAAGCAUGCAACAUACAUAUCAAAAUAAGCCGAAUAACAAAUAGUGACUUUUAAACAACUUUCAUGUUGAUAAAAUUUUUAUUUCUUCAAUUCAUUUACCGUUUCAUCAGGUUUGUUGCUGACGCUUUCGACAAUUGCUUGUUUGAUGUGCUUAUAACAUUUUAAAUUUUCCUUUUAAUAAUUAUACAGGAUGUAUCAUUGAAACAUUCUUUAUACAAUGAUAAUUUCUAAAAAAUAGGCACUCGAUGAGUACCUAAGGAUUUGCUUUUUUAUGAUUGACAAUUACAAAAUACCAGUAUGAUUGAUAUAUUCUGACAUAAAUGUGUGGGACUCGAAAUGUUGAGUAUCAAAACACAACACCAUAACAAGGUUUUGCCAAUACAACCACUACAACUUUGUUGUUUACAUUUUCUAUGUUAUGUAUCUGCAUAAUGUCAAAAACAUCUCGCUAUUGCCUGCGUUUCACUAGUCUAUCGAACAUUGGUGUCUACUAUCAGAUCUCUGAACAAACAAACGUUUAAAUUAAUAAAAAUUUGGGAAUGGUAUAUAAAAAAGUGGAAAUAUAAAUUACACUAUAUCUUAGUAACGAGAUGCCCCGAUCCUUGUCGAAGACAUUUCUCAAUACUGCCUUUGUAAACGUUUUAACCUAUGAAUUAAAAAGCAAAUAAUGUUUCCUUACCAUUA